UGAAGUAAGGUAGAUUAGUAAGGU
This 24-nucleotide microRNA is filed under the name Haemonchus contortus (barber pole worm). RNAcentral describes it as "hco-miR-5928b". The record is from miRBase by way of RNAcentral. Lineage: Eukaryota; Metazoa; Nematoda; Chromadorea; Rhabditida; Trichostrongylidae.